GAAACCAACACAAAGGUAACUAUUGUUUCCAGACAGUUACUUGUGUGUUGGUUUAAU
RNAcentral lists this microRNA precursor (57 nucleotides) under Lepisosteus oculatus (spotted gar). RNAcentral's name for it is "Loc-Novel-1_pre stem-loop". The record is from RNAcentral. Lineage: Eukaryota; Metazoa; Chordata; Actinopteri; Semionotiformes; Lepisosteidae.